GCAAGCUUUUAAGGGCACAUGGUGGAUGCCUUGGCAUCAAGAGCCGAUGAAGGACGUUGGAGCCUGCGAUAAGCCCUGGGGAGUUGGCAACCGAGCUGUGAUCCGGGGGUGUCCGAAUGGGGAAACCCGGCUGGAGUCAUGUCCAGUCACCUGCGCCUGAAUGAAAUAGGGUGUGUGGAGGGAACGUGGGGAAGUGAAACAUCUCAGUACCCAUAGGAAGAGAAAACAAUAGUGAUUCCGAGAGUAGUGGCGAGCGAAAUCGGAGGAGGCUAAACCUUGAGCGUGUGAUACCCGGCAGGGGUUGCGUUCGGGGGGUUGUGGGAGCAUUCGUGUUCAUCUGCCGGUGGACGAGACAGUAAGAAAGUGCGUGUGAAGUUGAAGUCCGUUGGAAAGCGGCGCCGUAGAGGGUGAUAGCCCCGUAGGUGUAAGUGCGUGCCUGUUGAGUGUUUUCCCAAGUAACACGGAACCCCUGAAAUUCCGUGUGAAUCUGGCGGGACCACCCGUUAAGCCUAAAUACUUCUUGAUGACCGAUAGCGGACUAGUACCGUGAGGGAAAGGUGAAAAGUACCCCUGGCGGGGAGUGAAAUAGUACCUGAAACCGUGUGCCUACAAUCCGUCAGAGCCCGGCUGCCCUGUGGGUGUUGGGGUGAUGGCGUGCCUUUUGAAGAAUGAGCCUGCGAGUUUGCGUUGUGUUGCGAGGUUAACCCGUGUGGGGAAGCCGUAGCGAAAGCGAGUCCUAAUAGGGCGUUUGAGUAGCGCGAUCAAGACCCGAAGCGAAGUGAUCUAUCCAUGGGCAGGUUGAAGCGCGGGUAAGACCGCGUGGAGGACCGAACCCACUUAGGUUGAAAACUGAGGGGAUGACCUGUGGAUAGGGGUGAAAGGCCAAUCAAACUUCGUGAUAGCUGGUUCUCCCCGAAAUGCAUUUAGGUGCAGCGUUGUGUGUUUCUUGCCGGAGGUAGAGCACUGGAUAGCCGAUGGGCCCGACCAGGUUACUGACGUUAGCCAAACUCCGAAUGCCGGUAAGUGAGAGCGCAGCAGUGAGACAGUGGGGGAUAAGCUCCAUUGUCGAGAGGGAAACAGCCCAGACCAUCAGCUAAGGCCCCUAAGCGGUGACUAAGUGGAAAAGGAUGUGGAGUCGCAGUGACAACCAGGAGGUUGGCUUGGAAGCAGCCACCCUUGAAAGAGUGCGUAAUAGCUCACUGGUCAAGUGAUUCCGCGCCGACAAUGUAGCGGGGCUCAAGUCAUCCGCCGAAGCUAUGGCAUUCACAUCCUCUUUGGUGAGGAGCCUUAACGGGUGUGUGGAUGGGUAGGGGAGCGUCGUGUCGCGGGUGAAGCUCCGGAGUGAUCCAGGGGUGGAUGCGACACGAGUGAGAAUGCAGGCAUGAGUAGCGAAUCACGGGUGAGAAACCCGUGCGCCGAAUGAUCAAGGGUUCCAGGGUCAAGCUAAUCUGCCCUGGGUAAGUCGGGACCUAAGGCGAGGCCGACAGGCGUAGUCGAUGGACAACGGGUUGAUAUUCCCGUACCGGCAAAGUAGCGCCCAUGACGAGCCCGGUGAUGCUAACCAUCCGAAGCCGCCGUGACUGAUCCCUUCGGGGUGAGGCGUGGUGGUGGAGCGUGGGAUCCGAUCCGGUAGUAGUCAAGCGAUGGGGUGACGCAGGAAGGUAGCCCAACCACGGCGAUGGUUGUCCGUGGGUAAGCAGGUAGGGUGUUGGUUAGGUAAAUCCGGCCGGCUGUCUUUGAUGACGAGCCUGAGAUGUGAUGCGGACCCCGUAUGGGGGAAGUGGGUGAUCCUAUGCUGUCGAGAAAAACCUCUAGCGAGCUAUGCGCCGCCCGUACCCCAAACCGACUCAGGUGAUCAGGUAGAGAAUACUAAGGCGAUCGAGUGAACCAUGGUUAAGGAACUCGGCAAAAUGCCCCCGUAACUUCGGGAGAAGGGGGGCCCGAACCGUCAUGGCCUUUACGGCCGGUAGCGGGGAGGGCCGCAGAGACCAGGCCCAAGCGACUGUUUACUAAAAACACAGGUCCGUGCGAAGUUGUAAGACGAUGUAUACGGACUGACUCCUGCCCGGUGCUGGAAGGUUAAGAGGACCUGUUAGACCACUUUGGUGGUUGAAGCGGAGAAUUUAAGCCCCAGUAAACGGCGGUGGUAACUAUAACCAUCCUAAGGUAGCGAAAUUCCUUGUCGGGUAAGUUCCGACCUGCACGAAUGGAGUAACGACUUGGGCGCUGUCUCAACCAUGGACUCGGCGAAAUUGCACUACGAGUAAAGAUGCUCGUUACGCGCGGCAGGACGGAAAGACCCCGGGACCUUUACUAUAGUUUGGUAUUGGUGUUUGGUUCGGCUUGUGUAGGAUAGGUGGGAGACUGUGAAACCUUCACGCCAGUGGGGGUGGAGUCAACGUUGAAAUACCACUCUGGUCGUACUAGAUGUCUAACUUAGGUCCAUGAUCUGGAUCAGGGCUGUCUCUUAUACACAUCUGACGCUGCCGACGAUCUACUCUGUGUAG
This 2507-nucleotide ribosomal RNA is filed under the name seawater metagenome. RNAcentral's name for it is "bacterial LSU rRNA". It matches the Rfam family "Bacterial large subunit ribosomal RNA", at positions 1 to 2300 of the family's 2925-position model. The record is from RNAcentral.